This 2321-nucleotide long non-coding RNA is filed under the name Rattus norvegicus (Norway rat). Its description in RNAcentral is "long non-coding RNA NONRATT028737". The record is from RNAcentral. Lineage: Eukaryota; Metazoa; Chordata; Mammalia; Rodentia; Muridae.
GGCUCACUGGUGGGCAGUACUGCUUAUGGGAAUUGCCCUGAUCAUGCUAAUGGCUGGAUUUAUCAAGAUUUGCAGUGUUCACACUCCAAGUAGUAAUCCAAAGUUGCCUCCUCCUAAACCACUUCCAGGCACUUUAAAGAGGAGGAGACCGCCACAGCCCAUUCAGCAGCCCCCGCGUCAGAGGCCCCGGGAGAGUUAUCAAAUGGGACACAUGCGACGCUGAUGCAGCUUUUGCCUUGGUUCUUCCUAGUGCCUACAGUGGGAAAACUUCACUCCAAAGAGAAACCUGUUAAGUCAUCAUCUGCAAAUGAAACCCUCACAGUUAAUAGUUGAAGAAAAAAUGGCAAGAGAUCAUGUCCUCAGACCAGGUGGAAUUACCUAAAAUUUAAAGCCUGAAAAUUCCAAUUUUUUGGGGGGGGUGGGAUGGAAAAGGAACCCAAUUUUCUUAUGGACAGAUAUUUUUAACCUAAUGGCACAAAGUCUUAGAAUAUUAUUAUGUGCCCUGUGUUCCCUGUUCUUCGUUGCUGCAUUUUCUUCACUUGCAGACAGACUUGGCUCUCGAUAAACUUUUAUCACAAAUUGAAAUAUAUUUUUUUCAACUGCCAAUCAAGGCUGGGAGGCUCGACCACCUCAACAUUGGAUACAUCACUUGCCAAUGUACAUACCUUGUUAUAUGCAGACAUGUAUUUCUUACGUACACUGUACUUCUCUGUGCAAUUGUAAACAGAAAUUGCAAUAUGGAUGUUUCUUUGUAUUAUAAAUUUUUCCGCUCUUAAUGAAAAAUUACUGUUUAAUUGACAUACUCAGGAUAACAGAGAAUGGUGGUGUGCAGUGGUCCAGGAUUCUGUAAUGCUUCAUGCAGGCCAUUUUGAAAUGAGAAUUGUUUUCCCUUUUUCUUAUGGUGGAGUUGGUUCUUACAUGCAUCCUUUUCCCUGUUCCAUGGCUGCUGUGAGUAGGAGAGGCUGUGUUGAAGAGCUCAGCUGGUGGCUUACAAACCGGGCAGCAACAGCGUUUGGCUUCAGUCAGUUCUUCAUGUCAUUGUCUGAUUUCUGCGUUAGUACUUUAUACUUUCUAAAUCAACUCCGUUUUAAAUUGCUAGGUGAAUUUUUUUUCACGCCUUGGUAGGAAUUAUGUUGGAAAUGAUCGUUUUCAUCUGUAGCCUGCUUAUUACUCUGUGUAUUCCAUGUACUUCAAGCCUGCUAAUUCUGUUUUUAUCUGAUAUGGAAAAGAAAAUCAGUGUCUUCAUUGAAAUAUUUGGACAGUUCUUCAGCACACUGUCACUGAUCAUUGGUAACCACUAGAGAUGAGUAAUUUGCUCAGCAGGUAGUUGAAAUUGUAGAUAGGUUUUCUGAUGUUGUUUUCCCCCCAAGACAUUUUAGCAACAAUGAAGGUAGACAGCACAGUGUCCCAUUACAAACUUCCGUUUUUAAGCAGAUAUAAAUAUUGGCAUUUUUAAAGAAAGAGAAAGCAAAAGCAUUUAAUGUAUUAACAGGCUUAUCGCUAUGCAGAAAAUGGAGGGGGCAUUAAAAAUAUGUAAGCUUGUGACAUACUCAUUGCUUCUGUUUUCCAGCUACAUCACUUAAAUUAGAAGUCAGCAGCAGUGAUUUUCCUGGCUUUACAUAAGUUCUUAAGAGUCUAAGGUUUACACAAUCACUCACAAUGUGACGCGAGCCAGCAAGGCCAAAACCGCUAGAGAAACAAUGGGAUCUCUCCUUGUAAACUUGUACAGUACGCGGGACUUUUUUCAAAACAGCUUUUUGUACAUGAUUUAGAGACAAAUUUUGUACAUGAAACCCCAGAUAGACUAUAAAUAAUUCUAACCCAACAAGUAGGUAGCUGUGUAUGACACUGCUUUAAAUCAUUCAAAUGCCUUUGUUUGUGGACUGUGCAAAGGUUGGAAGUGGGUUUGCAUUUCUAAAAUGGUGACUUUUAUUCUGCAAGAGUUCUUAGUAACUUCUUGAGUGUGGUAGACUUUGGAACAUGUACAUUUUUUGCUUGUAAUGUUAUCCUGUGGUAGGGUUUUCGCAGUUAUGCACUGCCCUAUUUUAUUUUGAGUCUAAGUUAAAUGUUUUCUGAGGAGAUACAUGCACUGAACUGUUUCCACUACAAAUCAAGAUGUGGUAAAAAAUGAAAGAACCAGGACCAGUAAGAUCUAAUACUACUGUCAGUUUAAUGUCCACUGUGUUUUAUACAGUAUCUUUUUUUUGUUGUUGUUCACUUUGGAAAUUUUUACUAAAACCUGCAAAAAAUAAAGUAUUGUGCAAAGAUGUAAGGGUUUUUGAAACUUGAAAUGCAUUAAUAAAUAGACUUGAUGAAAUCAA